Long non-coding RNA from Oncorhynchus kisutch (coho salmon), 396 nucleotides. RefSeq lists it as uncharacterized. The record is from RefSeq and is a predicted model, not a curated record. The transcript is spliced from 3 exons. Lineage: Eukaryota; Metazoa; Chordata; Actinopteri; Salmoniformes; Salmonidae.
UUUUGAAAAAGACCCUACGUGCUCAUUUCCUGCUUGAAUUAUGCAGAAACGGGCAGCGUUUAGGUCAUGUGAUUGAUUAUGUUGGAAAGGGGAGAAAUUGUGCUUUACAAUGGUGUUGACAUUACAGUUGAUCUGGAAAUAUUACGUUUUGGGGGCACUAAAAUAAGGGCAAUUGUACAGACCAAGGCGAUGUACGAGUUUACUAUAGCUGGUUAACAGGGAGCCUUUCAUCGAGCCGCCUGUAUUGCUGGCCUUGCCUGCAUUUUGGAAAGUCUGAGCCUUGGUCGAAAGAGGACACGACGAGAGGGAAAGCUCUGCCAACAAGGGCAACUACAAGGAGUUUGAAGAGUCAAAUCCUGUCCUACACUGGUCAAGCCUCUGAACACCUCAACUCAU